UGCUGACCUGCCUUCUCCCCGCUCUGCCCAGGGCUCCCGGGAGCCAGGGGAAACGCUGCCCCGGAAGCUGAAGCA
This is a small nucleolar RNA of Oryctolagus cuniculus (rabbit), 75 nucleotides long. The record is from Ensembl. Lineage: Eukaryota; Metazoa; Chordata; Mammalia; Lagomorpha; Leporidae.